Molecule: ribosomal RNA, 253 nt
Filed under: uncultured bacterium
Lineage: Bacteria
Description: partial 16S ribosomal RNA
Rfam family: Bacterial small subunit ribosomal RNA
Source: RNAcentral
UACAGAGGUCCCAAGCGUUGUUCGGAUUCACUGGGCGUAAAGGGUGCGUAGGCGGUCGGGUAAGUCUGAUGUGAAAUCUCACAGCUUAACUGUGGAACUGCAUUGGAUACUAUCCGGCUAGAGGAAUGGAGGGGAGACUGGAAUACUUGGUGUAGCAGUGAAAUGCGUAGAUAUCAAGUGGAACACCAGUGGCGAAGGCGAGUCUCUGGACAUUUCCUGACGCUGAGGCACGAAAGCCAGGGGAGCAAACGGG